RNAcentral lists this ribosomal RNA (440 nucleotides) under uncultured bacterium. Its description in RNAcentral is "partial 16S ribosomal RNA". It matches the Rfam family "Bacterial small subunit ribosomal RNA", at positions 338 to 795 of the family's 1533-position model. The record is from RNAcentral.
CCUACGGGAGGCUGCAGUGGGGGAUAUUGCACAAUGGGGGGAACCCUGAUGCAGCGACGCCGCGUGUGGGAAGACGGUCCUCUGGAUUGUAAACCACUGUCCUCAGGGACGAAAAUGACGGUACCUGGGGAGGAAGCUCCGGCUAACUACGUGCAAGCAGCCGCGGUAAUACGUAGGGAGCGAGCGUUGUCCGGAAUUACUGGGUGUAAAGGGAGCGUAGGCGGGGAUGCAAGUUGGGUGUCAAAACUACCGGCUCAACUGGUAGUCGCACUCAAAACUGCAGCUCUUGAGUGAAGUAGAGGCAGGCGGAAUUCCGAGUGUAGCGGUGAAAUGCGUAGAUAUUAGGAGGAACACCAGUGGCGAAGGCGGCCUGCUGGGCUUUUACUGACGCUGAGGCUCGAAAGUGUGGGGAGCAAACAGGAUUAGAUACCCUUGUAGUC